UAAGUAAAUCGCCUUAUCGCUCGAAUGCUGAACUUGUUUCGGCAAACGGGAGGAAAGUCCGAACACCGUAGUGCAACAUAGUGGUUAAUGGCCACCGGCCGAGAGGUCAGGAAAAGUGCAACAGAAAGAAUGUACAGGUAAUGCUGUAGUGAAAUCAGGUAAACUCUAUGUGGUGCAAUGCCAUGUAAACCAGCGUUUGAAGGCGGCACGUUUGAUGCUGGAGGGUAGGCAGCUAAAGUAUACUGGUAACAGUGCAUUCAGAUAAAUGAUAGGGGCGUUCUGGGUUGGUUUAAGAGAGAUUCUGAAACGAGUUCAGAAUGAACAGAAUUCGGCUUAUAGAUUUGCUUAAAUA
RNAcentral lists this RNase P RNA (352 nucleotides) under Tamlana crocina. RNAcentral's name for it is "RNase P RNA component class A". It matches the Rfam family "Bacterial RNase P class A". Rfam says of the family: Ribonuclease P (RNase P) is a ubiquitous endoribonuclease, found in archaea, bacteria and eukarya as well as chloroplasts and mitochondria. Its best characterised activity is the generation of mature 5'-ends of tRNAs by cleaving the 5'-leader elements of precursor-tRNAs. Lineage: Bacteria; Pseudomonadati; Bacteroidota; Flavobacteriia; Flavobacteriales; Flavobacteriaceae. The record is from RNAcentral.